AAAACAUAAAAGUACUAGAAUCUUAAUUCAACGAAAUAAAGGGUUCCAAAAGAUUACAUUGUUCGCCCUAAUUUUGAUUUAGCUACGCAUAAUAAUGAAAGAAAAAACAAGUUUAUUAGGAAAUUCAUCACCGGGUCAAUUGAUGGAACGUAAAUAAUUUGCAAGACUGAAUCUGCCGUCUUUUGCCGUGUCUGCUUCCUUUCAAUUUCAGCCUCUUGUCUUGUGUGUGUGAUUAGCAGCCUCAAUUUUUUACUUUAAUCAACCCCAAAGCUGCUGUCAAUUAAUUCCCAGACAAACUCCCAGCUACUGCCCUCAAAAUAUGUGCGUAAAUAAGAAUAAUGAUGCAGCAACCAGCAGCUUUCAAUUUCUCCUCUCUGGCUUUCCGUGCAUGUAUAUAUAGAGAGAGAGAGUUUAUCCCCCAGCCAAUUUUUCUGUGCGUGUAUAGGUAUCCUCCCAAGAAGAAAAAUUGGUAGCCACAAUAAUUAUCUCCAAAAGGACUUCUCUCUUUUCUCCCAGCAGCCGCCGAAUUUUUUUCUCUCCAGAAAACUCCUCCCCCU
This 557-nucleotide long non-coding RNA is filed under the name Olea europaea (common olive). Its description in RNAcentral is "long non-coding RNA (OEUR_LNC005188)". Lineage: Eukaryota; Viridiplantae; Streptophyta; Magnoliopsida; Lamiales; Oleaceae. The record is from RNAcentral.